AGUAAGUUGGUGUAUAUGGCACGGGAAAGUUUGAUUUUCUAGGUAUUUUUCGUUUAGGUACUUACUGUUG
RNAcentral lists this transfer RNA (70 nucleotides) under Geloina coaxans. RNAcentral describes it as "tRNA-Gln". The record is from RNAcentral. Lineage: Eukaryota; Metazoa; Mollusca; Bivalvia; Venerida; Cyrenidae.